ACAUAAUAAAUAUAACACGUGAGCAUAUAUUAAUGAAGGCAGCUCUUGCUUCAGUGGUUGGGAGCAAAACCUUCGUGUUCGAGGUCGGGAGUUCGAACCUUACCUCUUACAAAUAUUUUUGGAUCUCGUAUAUGCUUGAUAUACGGACGUAUAUACGGUAUGUACGGUAUACAUACGUAUAUACGGUCUGUACGGUAUGUAUACGUAUAUACGGUAUGUACAAUUUCAUACCGUAGCCGAGCUAAAAAGUUGUGGGCCGAAUAGUAGGCCCGAAUAGUAAGCCCAAAUUUGGUUGGGCCUAUUCAAAAUGCGUUUGGUUCGGCCGAUUGGUAGGCCCAAAUAGUAAGCCCAAUUGUUCGGCCGAUUUGUAGGCCCAAAUAGUAAGCCCAAUUGUUCGGCCGAUUGGUAGGCACAAAUAGUAAGCCCAAUUGUUCGGCCCGAAUGGUAGGCCCAAAUGUUAAGCCCAAUUGUUCGGCCCAAAUGGUAGGCCCAAAUGUUAAACCUAAAUUGGUUCGGGCCGGUUCGAAAUGUGGAUGGUUCGGUUUCUUCGGCCCAAUUGGCCAGCCCUAAUGCUUAGCCCAAGGAUUGAGCAAGCCCAAGUCAUCAUCACUGGGUGUCAGAUUUUAUUGGCAUGCUUUUGGGGAUGAUUUGUUUUGAGUGAUGCAUCUCUAUUGUUGUGUAGAAUAGUGCAUGCUUAAGUUUUACUAUAGAGAUUUACCGUGAUGCUAAUUGAGUAGCGAAACGCUUUGUGAGAAUGUUUACUGUGCUUGUAUGCCAGUACAGGAUGAUGAUCUAUGUGAAGAUCUAUGUGAUGAUCUAUGAGAUGAUCUAUGUGAAGAUCUAUGUGAGGAUCCAUGUGGUGAUUUUGUGUGAGUUUACUUUUGUGAUGAAAGAAUUUGUGGCCUUAGGAAUGUAUUUUUAUACAAAGGGCUGUGGCUUUGUAGAUUACUACAGCUUUGGAAAGGAUGGAGAUUCGAUGGUUAGGUUAACCGUAAUCGAGAGCAAUUAACUUGCGCUUAAAUUUCGGGACGAAAUUUCUUUAAGGAGGGUGGAUUGUAAUACCCGAAAAAUUCAAGUUAAUUUCCGAUGACGUUUUGGAAAUGAUUUCGUGGUCGUGGACACGAGUACGAAGCUUAGAGGAGUGUGGAAUUAGUUCGAACGAUUUUAUUUUGAAAACUGAACGUUUUAGGGGGGGUCAAAGGAGUUGACUUUUUAUACAUUGGGAAAUUGGGAAAACUUCCUUCAUGAAAGUUGUAGAGCGCGUCGAUACGAGUUCGUGGACAUAUGGAACGUAAUAUUCGGAGUUCGUAUGAAUAAGUUACGAAUAUUUGAAAAUUGGGAUUUUCUAUAAAUAUGAAAAAAAAUCCGAAUAUUGCAAAUGAGGACAGAAUUUCUGGAACUCCAGAAAUUUCUCCCCAUUUCUCUCCCGAGCCCAGCCGCGACCCCCUCCCUUCGUCACCUUCGUUCUUCCUCAUCCGGCCACCGAUUGAUGUGAAACAAAGUGGGUUUUUCUGGUCUCGACCCCCUUUACGAGUUUGUAGAAGAAAUCGAAGUGAAAUACGAGCUGUAUGAGGCUCUACAAGGUCGAGAAGAGAGCCUCGUCGGAGACGAAAUCGCUCUUCCCCACUUUUUCUGGGCUCUACUUUGUCUGGCCAUAUCUUCCUCUACAGGCCUCCGAUCGACCUGAUUCCAAAAGCAAUUUUUCUCACCGUGAAGUUUUCUACAACUUUCCAGAAGACAUCGACUUGAGAUAACCAUCGUGGUGGCCGCUAGAAGACCGAGAAGCCGCACAGCCGAGCUGGAAAUCGUCUUCCUUCGCCACCUUGGUUCUCCCAGCUCCGGCCACUAUAGCUCGAGUUCUUUGAGGGCUUUUCUAGCCCAGAGGAAGUAGAAGCUAUCCCCAAGAAGGCUUGCAGCGAUUUGAUCCGGGGUGAUCGAAUUUUGAAGAUUGGGAAACUAGGGUUCUUCGGGUUUCAAAACUUGCGAGGUGAUUGACGGUCUCCCUUGGGUGAACGAUUUCGGUGUGUAUUGUGUUAAACUGAAGACGCAGCGGGAAUAUCGAGUGGGUAAUCCUGCAGGUCAGGAGAAUCAGGACGGUGAUCGUGCGGGUUAGAGAAUUUGUUUUAGUUUUACAGCAAUUGUAAUUGUGAGGUGAGUUAUGCUCAUUUGAGCCUUACAAUAUAAUUUGGUGAGAGUGUGCUGUAAUAAACAAAUUUGAGAUUUGGUUUAUGUAAUAUCGAGCGAUGUGAGGUGUGGUUGUUUUGAGAAAAAAAAUUCAGGUUGUAUUUAUGUGAGUUGUAUUAAUUCAUGUUUCGGAUUUUGAUUUGUAUUUAAAAUUCGGGGC
Long non-coding RNA from Rosa rugosa (rugosa rose), 2344 nucleotides. RefSeq lists it as uncharacterized. The record is from RefSeq and is a predicted model, not a curated record. NCBI's taxonomy places the organism in Eukaryota, Viridiplantae, Streptophyta, Magnoliopsida, Rosales, Rosaceae. The transcript is spliced from 3 exons.